Molecule: small RNA, 415 nt
Filed under: Arabidopsis thaliana (thale cress)
Lineage: Eukaryota; Viridiplantae; Streptophyta; Magnoliopsida; Brassicales; Brassicaceae
Description: ATSL257090
Source: RNAcentral
GUAAUGAUUGGACACAUUUGAUGAAGUGGUUUCUUGAAAAUAAGACUUUGGAUGGAUGCAGUGUGGACAAACCGGUAUAAUUUGUUUGCGGUUUAGUUUAUCUGGCAGACAAAAAACCGUUGCAGACCAAGUUUAUUUGUAUGUAAAAAUGGUCUGCAGAUGGUCCGUUGCGGUUUUCUUCUAUUUUUUUUAGAUCACUACGAACUAUAAUUAAUAAAUAAUAAAUAAAAAACGGUAUGAUCCGUUGACGGUUUUAUCCGCCCCAACCGCCAUAACCAUUCAAAUCCUAAAUAAAAACGGUUUUGAUAAUAUAAGAACCAGCCCAAAGAUGAAGUUAUAUAUGUGACUAUGUUAACACACAUUUAUAGUAUGAGUUAACCUAGACCUAUUUGCGUCUCACUUCUUAUUAAAUGCU